GAUGAACGCUAGCGGCAGGCUUAACACAUGCAAGUCGAGGGGUAGAGUUCUUCGGGGCUUGAGACCGGCGCACGGGUGCGUAACGCGUAUGCAAUCUACCUUUUACAGAGGGAUAGCCCAGAGAAAUUUGGAUUAAUACCUCAUAGUAUAAUAGCUCGGCAUCGAGCAAUUAUUAAAGUCACAACGGUAAAAGAUGAGCAUGCGUCCCAUUAGCUAGUUGGUAAGGUAACGGCUUACCAAGGCUACGAUGGGUAGGGGUCCUGAGAGGGAGAUCCCCCACACUGGUACUGAGACACGGACCAGACUCCUACGGGAGGCAGCAGUGAGGAAUAUUGGACAAUGGGCGCAAGCCUGAUCCAGCCAUGCCGCGUGCAGGAUGACGGUC
This 385-nucleotide ribosomal RNA is filed under the name uncultured bacterium. RNAcentral's name for it is "bacterial SSU rRNA". It matches the Rfam family "Bacterial small subunit ribosomal RNA", at positions 28 to 416 of the family's 1533-position model. The record is from RNAcentral.